UACGGAGGGGGCUAGCGUUGUUCGGAAUUACUGGGCGUAAAGCGCGCGUAGGCGGUCCUGCAAGUCGGGGGUGAAAUCCUGGAGCUCAACUCCAGAACUGCCUUUGAUACUGGGGAUCUCGAGUCCGGAAGAGGUGAGUGGAACUCCGAGUGUAGAGGUGAAAUUCGUAGAUAUUCGGAAGAACACCAGUGGCGAAGGCGGCUCACUGGUCCGGUACUGACGCUGAGGUGCGAAAGCGUGGGGAGCAAACAGG
This 253-nucleotide ribosomal RNA is filed under the name uncultured bacterium. Its description in RNAcentral is "partial 16S ribosomal RNA". It matches the Rfam family "Bacterial small subunit ribosomal RNA", at positions 524 to 776 of the family's 1533-position model. The record is from RNAcentral.